UUCAUAGCCAAUUUCCUCCUCUCACUUUCUUCUUCUUCGUCUUCAUACUCGACUUGAGGGAUUUUUCUCUUUUUCCUCUCUUCUUUUUCGAUUCGAUCUGGUCUUAGCUUCUUCAAUUGGUGAUGAGGACUUGACACAUCGGAAUCGCCACGCUUUGACCUCCUGAUCGAGAUUCUAUUAGACGGCUGUGAACCUAGCAUCGGUGAUGCUAAAGAUAUAAAGGGAAUCAAAAGGGUUCUCAUAAAGUGGAAAAAUGUUGGAGGGUGGUCAAAAAUUCACUGGAAUGAUCGAUUUAAACGAGCAUGCAUAUGAUCUAUCGCAAGGGUUUUACCAUAAACUUGGUGAGGGAACCAACAUGUCUAUUGACAGCUUUGCAAGCUUGCAAACGAGCAAUGAUGGAGGGUCAGUUGCCAUGUCUUUAGAUAACAGCAGUGUAGGAUCAAAUGAGUCUCAUACUCGGAUCUUAAAUCACCAAGGCUUGCGACGGCGUGCAAAUGACAACCAUACUUUUCAACAUAGUGUUAACCGCCGCGGAAGAGUUACACAUCACCUGAGUGAUGAUGCACUAGCCCGAGCUUUAUUUGAUAGUAAUACACCCACCCAGGGUCUUGAAAAUUUUGAGAAGUGGACACUUGAUUUAAGGAAGCUUAAUAUGGGGGAGGCUUUUGCUCAAGGUGCCUUUGGGAAACUCUACAGAGGUACUUAUGAUGGUGAAGAUGUUGCUAUCAAGAUCUUGGAGAGGCCAGAGAAUGACCUGGAAAAGGCUCAGUUAAUGGAGCAGCAAUAUCAGCAGGAGGUGAUGAUGCUUGCUACACUGAAGCACCCAAAUAUUGUCCGGUUUAUUGGAUCAUGCCAUAAGCCGAUGGUUUGGUGCAUUGUUACUGAGUAUGCGAAGGGCGGUUCAGUUAGGCAGUUCUUGAUGAAGCGACAAAGUCGUUCUGUCCCACUGAAAUUAGCUGUCAAACAAGCUUUGGAUGUUGCCAGGGGGAUGGAAUAUGUUCAUGGCCUUGGGUUGAUUCAUAGGGACUUGAAAUCGGACAACCUUUUGAUUUUUGCAGACAAGUCUAUCAAAGUUGCUGACUUUGGAGUGGCCCGGAUUGAGGUGCAGACAGAAGGAAUG
This 1120-nucleotide unclassified non-coding RNA is filed under the name Hevea brasiliensis (rubber tree). Lineage: Eukaryota; Viridiplantae; Streptophyta; Magnoliopsida; Malpighiales; Euphorbiaceae. The record is from RNAcentral.